Molecule: ribosomal RNA, 253 nt
Filed under: uncultured bacterium
Lineage: Bacteria
Description: partial 16S ribosomal RNA
Rfam family: Bacterial small subunit ribosomal RNA
Source: RNAcentral
UACGGAGGAUCCAAGCGUUAUCCGGAUUUAUUGGGUUUAAAGGGUGCGUAGGCGGCCUGUUAAGUCAGGGGUGAAAGCCGGUAGCUCAACUACCGAAGUGCCUUUGAUACUGACGGGCUUGAAUGCAGCUGAAGUGGGCGGAAUGUGACAAGUAGCGGUGAAAUGCAUAGAGAUGUCACAGAACACCGAUUGCGAAGGCAGCUCACUAAAGUGCGAUUGACGCUGAGGCACGAAAGCGUGGGGAUCAAACAGG